Molecule: ribosomal RNA, 468 nt
Filed under: uncultured bacterium
Lineage: Bacteria
Description: partial 16S ribosomal RNA
Rfam family: Bacterial small subunit ribosomal RNA
Source: RNAcentral
GACGAACGCUGGCGGCGUGCUUAACACAUGCAAGUCGAACGGAAAGGCUCUGCUUUUGUGGGGUACUCGAGUGGCGAACGGGUGAGUAACACGUGAGUAACCUGCCCUUGACUUUGGGAUAACUUCAGGAAACUGGGGCUAAUACUGGAUAUGAGCUCCUUCUUCAUGGUGGGUGUUGGAAAGUUUCGGCGGUUGGGGAUGGACUCGCGGCUUAUCAGCUUGUUGGUGGGGUAGUGGCUUACCAAGGCUUUGACGGGUAGCCGGCCUGAGAGGGUGACCGGCCACAUUGGGACUGAGAUACGGCCCAGACUCCUACGGGAGGCAGCAGUGGGGAAUAUUGCACAAUGGGCGGAAGCCUGAUGCAGCAACGCCGCGUGAGGGAUGACGGCCUUCGGGUUGUAAACCGCUUUCGCCUGUGACGAAGCGUGAGUGACGGUAAUGGGUAAAGAAGCACCGGCUAACUACGUG